RNAcentral lists this long non-coding RNA (1672 nucleotides) under Vigna radiata. Its description in RNAcentral is "long non-coding RNA (VRAD_LNC009114)". The record is from RNAcentral. Lineage: Eukaryota; Viridiplantae; Streptophyta; Magnoliopsida; Fabales; Fabaceae.
AUGUAUACGUAUAUGUGGACCAAAAUUAUGGGAAUAUAUGAUGAUUUUACAAAGAAAAAAAAUAAAGUAAAAGAAAAUACUUUCUUUGAUCUUGUUGUUGGCUGACUUGAAUUUCUUCCAUGUGAAGGAAAAAUCGUGCUUUCAUUAUUUCCCUAUCCCUCUCACCGGUGAGGUGGGCCAAGACUUUAUUAUAUCGAUUAGAGAAAAUUUAUCCUUUCAUAUAAAUUAAUUAAAGAGUUUGCGAUGAUGUUAAAUUACAAGAGAACAAAAAAGAGAAGUGAUCAUAGUCAUUAUUUAUAUGAAAUUCAUUAAUUUAACUAUAAUCUUUAUAACAACAUAUUCUCACUUAAAAUAAAAUCCGUACAAAAUACAGUAACUUUGAUUCUUAAAUGCAUUUACAUUUUCAUUUUCUAAAUUUAAGUCAUUUAUAUCACUUAUCAUUAUAUUUUCAUUUACAUUUUCAUAUUUUUGCUUACCAAUUGCUUCUCUUUUCAAUACUAACAUUAUGAAGUCUUUUGAAUCGAUUAAGAUUAGACAAAAAAUUAUAAAUAAUACUGAUAUUUUAUUAUUAAAAAGUUAAAAACUAUAAAUAAAAUUUCAUUUAAAGAGUUUCAGUUUAUAAAAAGUUUCGUCAAUCUAAAAAUUUUCUCUCUAAACUUGAUUUACUUUUUAUCUAAGAUCAUAAUAUUUUUGAAAAUCCAAACUUAUGUGGUGUUAUGAAUAAGAAAUCUAUCGAAUCAUAUUUUCCUAUAUAGUGAGUUAUGUUUUUGUUAUUUUUUUGAAUCAAUUAUAGAUUAUAUGUUGCAUGUGACCUUUGAGGAGGUUUGUGUUGUGUGGUGAUGUGUGAGUAAAAUGUAAUUGCAUUCACAUCUUAGUUUAGGUCAUUUGUAUACAUAAUUGUAUUGAUUUAAGGAUUUAGUCAUGCAUUAUCUUUGUUUCGGAUCAUACAUUGGGAUUUUGUGCUUUUUGUGUAGAUUGGUGAAAUCUAAGUGUCAAAAAUCACAACUUGGGAUGAAUUGAUGUACAAGAGACAAAGAUGAAACAGAGAGUUCAACAAACGAGCUGUGAACAGUCUCACAACCUGUGGAAUUUGCUUCUAAAUGCAGUUGCAAAACAGAGAGCUUCACAAGUGAGUUGUGGUUUCUACCACAACCUAUUGGGGAUUUUUUCCAUGGGCUGUGAAAGUUUCCAAGAGCAGUUACUAAUCUCUUUUAUGACUGAUUUAAAGAGAUUAAAAUUAAGGAGAAAUUGAAGGAAGUUAUUGAAGGGAAGUAACUACUCUCCUAAAAAAGAGGAAUUAGUGGAAAUGGUGGGGAGUUGGAAAAAAAAACGUGGAAAGGGAGAUAAAAGUUGGAAUUCACGUGCAGGGCCUUCUUCAUCUUCUUCUUCUGCAGCUUUUUCAUACUUUUGUUUUUGAACUUCCUUUACAUUAUGCAGAACUAAUUUUCCAUUUGUUAGAGGAUUGAUGUAGUACUUUUGAUUAUACUUUCUGAACAUUUUCAAUUGAUGUUGUUUAAUUUUAAUUAUCCUUGUGUUCUAUUUAUGUUUUAAUGUCUAUUCUAUGAGCAGUUUCACAAUUGGGAGAUUGGUAAUUGCUUGCGUUUAUAAAUAGAACAGAUUAGAUGUUGUCACAAUUGGGAAAUUGGACACAACUAGUUAGUUUGAAAUUGAG